Molecule: ribosomal RNA, 1635 nt
Filed under: Pseudomonas sp. NFPP14
Lineage: Bacteria; Pseudomonadati; Pseudomonadota; Gammaproteobacteria; Pseudomonadales; Pseudomonadaceae
Description: bacterial LSU rRNA
Rfam family: Bacterial large subunit ribosomal RNA
Source: RNAcentral
CCUAAGGCGAGGCUGAAAAGCGUAGUCGAUGGAAAACAGGUUAAUAUUCCUGUACUUCUAGUUAUUGCGAUGGAGGGACGGAGAAGGCUAGGCCAGCUUGGCGUUGGUUGUCCAAGUUUAAGGUGGUAGGCUGGAAUCUUAGGUAAAUCCGGGGUUCUAAGGCCGAGAGCUGAUGACGAGUUACCUUUUAGGUGACGAAGUGGUUGAUGCCAUGCUUCCAAGAAAAGCUUCUAAGCUUCAGAUAACUAGGAACCGUACCCCAAACCGACACAGGUGGUUGGGUAGAGAAUACCAAGGCGCUUGAGAGAACUCGGGUGAAGGAACUAGGCAAAAUGGCACCGUAACUUCGGGAGAAGGUGCGCCGGUGAGGGUGAAGGACUUGCUCCGUAAGCUCAUGCCGGUCGAAGAUACCAGGCCGCUGCGACUGUUUAUUAAAAACACAGCACUCUGCAAACACGAAAGUGGACGUAUAGGGUGUGACGCCUGCCCGGUGCCGGAAGGUUAAUUGAUGGGGUUAGCUAACGCGAAGCUCUUGAUCGAAGCCCCGGUAAACGGCGGCCGUAACUAUAACGGUCCUAAGGUAGCGAAAUUCCUUGUCGGGUAAGUUCCGACCUGCACGAAUGGCGUAACGAUGGCGGCGCUGUCUCCACCCGAGACUCAGUGAAAUUGAAAUCGCUGUGAAGAUGCAGUGUAUCCGCGGCUAGACGGAAAGACCCCGUGAACCUUUACUAUAGCUUUGCACUGGACUUUGAAUUUGCUUGUGUAGGAUAGGUGGGAGGCUUUGAAGCGUGAACGCCAGUUUGCGUGGAGCCAUCCUUGAAAUACCACCCUGGCAACUUUGAGGUUCUAACUCAGGUCCGUUAUCCGGAUCGAGGACAGUGUAUGGUGGGUAGUUUGACUGGGGCGGUCUCCUCCUAAAGAGUAACGGAGGAGUACGAAGGUGCGCUCAGACCGGUCGGAAAUCGGUCGUAGAGUAUAAAGGCAAAAGCGCGCUUGACUGCGAGACAGACACGUCGAGCAGGUACGAAAGUAGGUCUUAGUGAUCCGGUGGUUCUGUAUGGAAGGGCCAUCGCUCAACGGAUAAAAGGUACUCCGGGGAUAACAGGCUGAUACCGCCCAAGAGUUCAUAUCGACGGCGGUGUUUGGCACCUCGAUGUCGGCUCAUCACAUCCUGGGGCUGAAGCCGGUCCCAAGGGUAUGGCUGUUCGCCAUUUAAAGUGGUACGCGAGCUGGGUUUAGAACGUCGUGAGACAGUUCGGUCCCUAUCUGCCGUGGACGUUUGAGAUUUGAGAGGGGCUGCUCCUAGUACGAGAGGACCGGAGUGGACGAACCUCUGGUGUUCCGGUUGUCACGCCAGUGGCAUUGCCGGGUAGCUAUGUUCGGAAAAGAUAACCGCUGAAAGCAUCUAAGCGGGAAACUUGCCUCAAGAUGAGAUCUCACUGGAACCUUGAGUUCCCUAAAGGGCCGUCGAAGACUACGACGUUGAUAGGUUGGGUGUGUAAGCGCUGUGAGGCGUUGAGCUAACCAAUACUAAUUGCCCGUGAGGCUUGACCAUAUAACACCCAAGCAAUUUGCUUAAGAAGCGAGUUGCGGUGUGUGAAGACGAUACAAACCGAAAGUUUGCAAACACACAAA